Molecule: non-coding RNA, 24 nt
Filed under: Arabidopsis thaliana (thale cress)
Lineage: Eukaryota; Viridiplantae; Streptophyta; Magnoliopsida; Brassicales; Brassicaceae
Also listed under: 1 other name
Source: RNAcentral
UCGGGACCCGAAAGAUGGUGAACU